AGAGUGUUGGAUGCAGCAUAAAGUGGCCUCCGGGACAAAUCGGCAAUCUGUAAUCUCUAGUUUGAACUUCUUGGAGACAAAUCAAUGAAGAAUGUAUUAUUUCUUUCAGCCUUCUUGUUUUAGCAUUUUGGAUUUCUCAAGGUGUAAUAGGCAAGAAAUGAUGUAAUAGUUGAUACUUUUGUAUACGAUUAUUUAAUAUAAGUUGUACUUGUAGUGCA
Juglans microcarpa x Juglans regia is the source of this 218-nucleotide long non-coding RNA. RefSeq lists it as uncharacterized. NCBI's taxonomy places the organism in Eukaryota, Viridiplantae, Streptophyta, Magnoliopsida, Fagales, Juglandaceae. The transcript is spliced from 2 exons. The record is from RefSeq and is a predicted model, not a curated record.